Non-coding RNA from Oryza nivara, 205 nucleotides. The record is from Rfam. Lineage: Eukaryota; Viridiplantae; Streptophyta; Magnoliopsida; Poales; Poaceae.
AAUAGAUGACGCCGUUGACUUAUUCUCACAUGUUUGAUCAUUCGUUUUAUUUAAAAAAUUUACGUAAUUAUAAUUUAUUUUUGUUAUGAGUUGUUUUAUCACUCAUAGUACUUUAAGUGUGAUUUAUAUCUUAUACAUUUGUAUAAAAUUUUUGAAUAAGACGAAUGGUCAAACAUAUGAGAAAAAGUCAACAGCGUCAUCUAUU